ACGAACGCUGGCGGCGUGCUUAACACAUGCAAGUCGAACGGGCGAAGAGGAGCUUGCUCUCCUAGCCUAGUGGCAAACGGGUGAGUAACGCGUAGGCAACCUGCCCUUCAGAUGGGGACAACAUUUCGAAAGGAAUGCUAAUACCGAAUGAUGUGCAUUGGUCGCAUGACCGAUGUACCAAAGGCCGGGCAACCGGUCACUGAAGGAUGGGCCUGCGUCUGAUUAGCUAGUUGGUGGGGUAACGGCUCACCAAGGCGACGAUCAGUAGCCGGUCUGAGAGGAUGAACGGCCACAUUGGGACUGAGACACGGCCCAAACUCCUACGGGAGGCAGCAGUGGGGAAUCUUCCGCAAUGGGCGCAAGCCUGACGGAGCAACGCCGCGUGAGUGAAAGAAGGUUUUCGGAUCGUAAAGCUCUGUUGUCAGGGACGAGAGACUUAUUCAGGAAAUGGGAUAAGGAGGACGGUACCUGACGAGAAAGCCACGGCUAACUACGUGCCAGCCGCAGC
Molecule: ribosomal RNA, 508 nt
Filed under: uncultured bacterium
Lineage: Bacteria
Description: bacterial SSU rRNA
Rfam family: Bacterial small subunit ribosomal RNA
Source: RNAcentral